GAGAAUAGGCCGCUUCCACCUUAAUUGAAUUGGCCUCGUUAGCACUGACCCCCCUCCCCAAAUUUUUUAGUCUCUAAGGUGCCACAAGGACUCCUCGUUGUUUUUGUAAUUUUGUGCCCCUACUGAUUUUGAGAAGAAUUUAAGGAAAGAGAUCUGUAUUCUGUGUUCAUAAGUUAGGUUCUGAUCCAGUAAAGGACUUAGCAUGUAGUACUGUUGUGGAUGUGUCCUGCCAGCCACACCCAUUUAUGCCAAGGUUCAAAAUAGAGACCAGCUGCUACAGAUCUCUGCUCUGUGACAUUCAAAGGGUUGCAGCAUCCCUGGAUGUGGGUUCUUUGUGGUAUGGGCUACCUGCAUAGCAGAAAUGAUCCAUUUCCGCUGUAGUUUGUUUGCAUUUACCCAUCUACACAGGUGUGGCAUCUGGCUCCUAGUAACACUCUUUUAUUGUUAUCAUGAAGUUCCAAAGUGAAAUACUUUUCUGCUUGAGCAGAUUCUGACACCCUUCCUCCACAAUUACUCCCAUUAAAUUCAAUAGGGCGACAUUUGAUAGGGUGCUAUUUAACAUAAGGGUCUCACAUUCAGGCCCUUUUAUUGUGCUGAGUCUAAUCUCACCUAACCCUGUUUUACAGUGGUGCAAUUCUAUGGCCUUGCAUGGAUUUAUGUCUUGGGUUUACAACAAGAUAAGAGGAGAGUCAUGCAUACUGUGUGUGAUAUGCUGGAGUUUUUAAACAUACUACAAAAGUGCAGGCAUCUGGCCAUAUUGUACUGUGAAUCUAUGCCCAUCAUUUCCAUCAAUAUUCAGGAGAAUCAUGUGCAUGGAUCAAGGGUAUAAUGUGGCUCUAGGCCAUUUCAGCCAAAAAUACUUCUAUGUUAUAUUUGAGAGAAGAAUCCAAAGUUUUUAGGUUCUGCCGGCUCACUGGCAUGAAAGCUAGACAGAUCUUGCUAUAUCAGUCUCUCAACUAGUAUACUUUACUUAGAAUUAAUUUGAUACUGUAGCUUUUUGAAUGCACACAAAAAUGUUAGGCAUCUAUGAGAAUGCUGAUUAUGCUGUAUAACGUGUUUUGACAGGACAAUACUGGCAAUAUGUCUCAAAUGUCAAUGUCAUAGAAAUCAAACUGAAAACCUGUGUAAGUUGUUGAACAGGACAACUGGUAUGUUCAUUUCUAGUAACUUCUCUCAUUGCCAUUAAAUCCACAUUGUACUCUUUUAAAAAAUAGUUCAGCUAAAUAAUGCAGGUUAGAUUUAAUCAAUAAAUCAUUGUUCAGUUUUUUUCUUAACAUCUGUUGCUGUUUUGUUUUAACAAUUAUGUAGGGUAACGUUGGCUGGUCCAUUUAUUUUCAGAUGAGUAAAAAUGUAUCAGUGCACCUUAUUGUUAACAAUCAAAUUUACGGCUUAGCGUUUAAGUAAAGUGUGGGAGGGAAUUGGCCUUCCAUUUGUUGGGUCUCUUGACUGUUAAAUGUACAUAGUAUUGUUCCAGAUAAGCCUUUUACAUAUCCAUUUCAGGUAGAAUUCAACUGAACAGUUCUCACAUCCACAUUUGAAAAUAUUCUUAAUUUACUUACAAGCAGCAUGGGUCAUUGUGAUAUACAUUCCUUAAUAGGAAUCUCUUGGAAAUGAAUUCCAUCUUCUGAGUUAUUAAAGCCUUUUAAAACAACCUCUUCACCAUCAGCUGCCUUAAAAUUCUCUAGAAUCUUCAUUCUAAUAUAGACUAUUUCAAAUACAACAACUCCAAAGUCACCAGUGCAUAGGUUUAUUUGUUGGGAAGGAGACUAAGAGCAACCCCUGGUUCCGAUCUAAAUAAUUGUAAUUUCGACAAAUGACAGUCAUGGCGUAUCUGAUAUCAUCUGUUUGUACAAAAUAGACAAAUUGUGGAAGAAUAAACACCAUAAGGAGGAAGAUUGCACAGAAUUCUUUUAAAUAAUGUUUGUCCCUGGGUCCUGUGGACCUUGUGGCAAUGUUCUGUUGAAUUCCCUGCACCAAGGUCUCACUCUUAAGGUAGAUCUACGCUAAAGUGCAGCAAUACCAGCAUUCCCAGUCCUUGAAAGAGGCCAUCACUUUCUUUGAUCAAGAUCAGUUUUUUCUGGUUGUCUGAGUAAUUGUUGACUGGUUCCAGUAAACUUUCCAGCCUAUGGUUAGAAAAAUAGUGGUAUGAUGCAUAUGGAUAAAAUUGUGGGGAAAUGGAAGAUUCUUAGGACUCCCAAAAAUGGUAUAGAGACCUCCCUGAAAAGUAUUGCUUUUCAGAUUGCCUGGUCUCUCUCCCCCACAAAAAUCUGACCUUUUCAUAUUUGUUUUCACUCUUCUUUUUAAAAAAAGACUAAAUAUUUCCUCUGAUGAGGGUGAACUUCUGAUAUUUUAACAGAAGAAUGUGGAUUUCUACAUACCCUUUAGUUUUUCUUGGAAUUUGUGUAAUGACUGUUAGAUUGUUAUGGCCAUAGAAGGGUUUUUAGUUGAUUGUAUGGUAUGACGUAUUGCUGUGUGAAAAAAGUGGGAUGAUAAAAUCCUCAAAAGUAUGUGUAACCCUGUUGUAAUGAUCACACAUAUUAUCAUGUAAAGACACAAAUGCAGUAUUGCACUUGAAAUAAUUUGUAUUGUGGCACUAUCCAGAGGCCUCAACCAAGAUUAGGGCCCCUUACAGUUGUGUUCGAUGCUAUAAAAACACAUGGUAAGAAACGGUCCCUUCCCCAGAGGGUUUACAGCCUAAACAGACCAGAUGGACAAAGGGUCGGAGGAGAAACAGAUAUUUGCACUAUCUGUCACUGCCCUGACUCCAGAAGAGUGUUCUGAGUCAAGAGGGCCUUGGUGAUAAGGAGCCUGGAUGGAAGGGAUGAUGGACUGAGGUUAACGCUGCCCCCUACUCCUGACAUUGAGGACGCUGGUGUGAAGGCUCAUUUGUGCAACAUGUUCCCCUUUGGAAUGAAUAAACUAGACCCCUGAAGGGGUUCAAUAUGUAUCAGCCUCACUGAACUUAUUGAAAGCACACGAAGGGAAACCAAAGCAGAGACACAACCUUGGUUCUGCCACAGGCUGCCAGAGAUUGCUCCAGCUGUGAGUGCCUACCAUUACAUCUGUUUGUUGUUGGGAUGUUUACUAUAUUAAUAUAUUGAUUUAGUUUAAUAGCAGGCUUUAAGCAAACAAGCAGGAAGAAAGGAAUGAAUUCAAAAUGACCUUGACAAAUUGGUGAAUUGGUCUGAAACCAUCAAGAUGAAAUUCAUUAAAGACAAGUGCAAAGUACUAUAUUUAGGAAGGGAAAAAAAAUUGAAAGCACAAAUACACCAUGGGAAAUAACUGGCUAGGAAGUAAUACUGCUGAAAAGCAUCUGGAGGUUUAGUAGAUCACAAGUUGAUUAUAAGCCAGCAAUAUGAUGCAGUUGUGAAAAAGGCUGUUGUGACAAUCAAGGUCCAGACACCCAAAGGGGAGUAUGGGGGGGUCUGAACCCUGCAAAAUAAGCUAUCGAAUCAACUGGUUGUAGACACUGUUAUUCUGUAUGUAAAAUAUGCCAACUAAGGUCUUUUGUGAAAACUUGUAAUGUUCUGAACUUGAUGGCCAUUAGGAGAUAUGUAUACAGGCUAUGGUUUUGAAUUGAUGCAUGUAUUUAUGUGUGGAAAAUUGUAAUUGUGCCCAUAGAGACAGGCUGGGAGGGCACCUCCCAGGCAGGUGUUCACACUCUGAGCACCUAGCAUUGUUCAGGUAGGAGGAGACAAUGGUGGACCAUUAAAAUGAAUGGGAAAAACACUGAAACAACUUGAAAUGGAAAAGAAAACCCCAUUCUGGGAAACCCCACCCCUGUUCUGUGUGAUCAUGAAUUACCAUAGUCCUUAGGAAAAGAAAGAAAACCCUGCAAACUCUGUUAAAAGCAAGGGAAGUGAAGGCUAUCCACAAAUGAAGGGUCAGCAAUUAAGCAGGGUGCUUUCCAUGAAGCACUGGAUCCCUCUAGGACAGAGGGCCUGCUGGAAAACCGUUCAGAGGCAAUAGGUAACUUGUAUUAACCAAGGGAAUUUAGCUCAGAGAGAAAUGUAAAGCCUCAGAUUUUGUCUUUCUGUUCUGUGUGACUUGUAUGUGUUUUGGCUUUCCUUACUAUUGCAGCUUGGAAUCUGUGAUAUGUUGUUGUUUUUUUUUUUCUAUUAAACAAACUUUUUUGUUUGUUUCUGCCUCCAGUAAGCCUCUGUUGUGCAGACUGUGGGGAGCAUAAGCGCCAAAGUGAAUGGAUAACUGGGGGCAGGUUUCAUGCCCUUCGUGGUGAUGAACUGGAUGGGAAAAGUCCAAGUGGCUGGUAGUUACGACCUCAGGGAGAAAGAUUUGGGGGGACUCGGGACCAGCAAGGAUUGUUGAGGUAACCCAGUAAGAAGUAACUAAGCUGGUGGAAACCUUACACUGGCAGGCUGGCUACUGGGGGCAGAGCCACGAAGAAGAACCGCAUAGCACUAACACACCCAAGUUACAUGGCAGGCAAUGACAGAAUCCCUUAUUGAUCCCCCAAAAGGUCUGGCUGUACAGCAGCAAAACUCUUUAUUGUAGAAGGUAAAAGAAAUAUUGUCCUUUGUUGGGAAGAGAGUAAAGAGACAGACAGGAAAAGUGAACAGCUCAAGAAAGGUCAGCGAGUCGAGUUAUGCAAAGAAAGGAAGCUAAAAUCUAAAAGCUUAAGAAGUCAGAGCUGGCGUCUUGGCUGUGUGACGAUAACCAGGGGCAGAAUGGGUACCAGACCAGGACCUAGGAACCGCCCAAGUUCUCUUAUAGGGUGUGCAGGAGCCCAAGGAGACAAAGGCCAGAAUAGACCAGCAGGAUGAGAAAGCUGCAGAACCAAUGAAUUCCCAAGAAGAGGUAUGGAGGAGGAAAUCUCUCUCCUUCAUCCUCACUCAGAGCUGGUGUGAAGCUACACGCCACAAUAUCUACACUCUAUCUCGAAUGGGACAACUGUCGUGUUAGAAAACUGGACACAGUAUUUUGGAGAUGAAAAAAGACUUUUUAAUGCUGCUUCUGAAAAAAGGAGAAAAGGCUGCUAUCUUAUAUUUUCUGUUUCAUCUUUGACUGAAAUCCUCGACUCUGGGAUGAGAUCGUCUGUCCUUGCUGCCAUACAUCUUAUGAGAGAGACAAGUCUCUGUGCAUAGGACUCCAAGAGGCAUUGGUUCAUUUAUUGGAUAAAUAUACAUGAUUUAAAAGAAAGGACUAGAGAUGAAACACUGAGCUUCAGCCUCUCCUUGAAUGAAUUAGCUCAUGGCAGAAGCUGUCAGGGCUGUAGAGGGAGAAGCUUAGCAAAUGGUAAAAUAUUCUGCAGAUGCUGUAAAUCAAAGGAGAUCAGGCAACCAGGAUGAACAAAGGAAUUGUCUCAACCCACCUUGCUUUAGCAAUACACUCUUGCCAACAGAUCUGAUUCAAUCCUAGGAGUCUGAGAAGGAUCCACUGGAAUCAAAUCCCUUCCAACACCUCUGUAUUGCCACCAGUCAUUAAAGCAGCUAUCAUUGCCUGCAAGUAUCAGGAUAAAUGGGGCUCAUGUCUCGGCCCCAUACAUUUCAUCACAUUUCCUCCUUUAGCAAUUUCCAGUCACUGCCAUUUCUCCUUUUAGGGAGUGGAGACAGUACCACCAUCAUCAGUGACCUCUUUCAGGGAGAGAGGAACCAUCAGUGUCUGCCUUCCCCCUUUCCCUCUCUAAGAUGUGGGGUAGGAUGAAAAUUACUGUUGGUGGGGUGUACUAACAGAAGUGUCAUUUGUAAGUUGUGGGAGGUAAAUGUCCUGCUCUGCUUGGCACUGGUGAGGCCUCAGCUGGAGUACUGUGUCCAGUUCUGGGCCCCACACUUUAGGAAAGGUGUGGAUAAAUUGGAGAGAGUCCAAAGAAGAGGAACUAGGUUUAGAGAACAUGACCUAUGAGGAAAGGUUGAAAGACUUGAAGAUGUGUAGUCAGAAGAGAGAGCUGAGAGGGAAAAUGACAGCCUUCGGUUUAUGUAAGUUUGUUAUAAAGAGGAUGGUGAGCAAUUCUCCAUGUCCACUGAGGAUGGGACAAGAAGUAAUGGGCUUAGU
This is a long non-coding RNA of Trachemys scripta elegans, 6009 nucleotides long. RefSeq lists it as uncharacterized. The transcript is spliced from 4 exons. The record is from RefSeq and is a predicted model, not a curated record. Lineage: Eukaryota; Metazoa; Chordata; Testudines; Emydidae.